Molecule: ribosomal RNA, 301 nt
Filed under: uncultured bacterium
Lineage: Bacteria
Description: partial 16S ribosomal RNA
Rfam family: Bacterial small subunit ribosomal RNA
Source: RNAcentral
CAGCCGCCGCGGGAAUACGGAGGGUGCAAGCGUUAAUCGGAAUUACUGGGCGUAAAGCGCACGCAGGCGGUCUGACAAGUCAGAUGUGAAAUCCCCGGGCUUAACCUGGGAACUGCAUUUGAAACUGUCAGGCUGGAGUCUUGUAGAGGGGGGUGGAAUUCCAGGUGUAGCGGUGAAAUGCGUAGAGAUCUGGAGGAAUACCGGUGGCGAAGGCGGCCCCCUGGACAAAGACUGACGCUCAGGUGCGAAAGCGUGGGGAGCAAACAGGAUUAGAUACCCCUGUAGUCCCUGUCUCUUAUAU